Molecule: long non-coding RNA, 287 nt
Filed under: Nicotiana benthamiana
Lineage: Eukaryota; Viridiplantae; Streptophyta; Magnoliopsida; Solanales; Solanaceae
Description: long non-coding RNA (NBEN_LNC001652)
Source: RNAcentral
AAUAAAGAAAGGAUUGUACGGUCUAUCUUUUACAAAAGUAGUUAGAUUAUUUUUCCUUCAAUAAAAAUAAUGCACAAUCGUUUUAAAAUGCAGACAUUUGUAAAUAAUCGAACUGGACAACAUAUCUCAUUGCCUAGAAAGAAGACCGUAGUUUCAAACUAAAUCAACCAGAUAGUCCAUGGUUUACCCUGCCCUAUUAAAAAUUUUUAAAAAUAAUAUUUUAAUUAUACUUUGCGUGCCCGCCCCGCUCCGCCCCAUUAAAAUCUUUCAUGCCCCGGCCCAUUUAA